CGCGGGGGCGCCCCCCUCGGCCGGGCGCUCGGGUUUCAGCCGCCGCUCCUCCGCGCCCCGCCCGCGCCUGGCCCGCUCGCCGGCGCCGGGAGAGACCUCGUAACGGAACUGGGACGCCAGCGCUGCAUUGUGGGAGCUUUUAAAGCGGCGGGGAGCUCGGCGCGACCCUCGGGCCCACCGGGCCACGCUCGCCCGGCCCGCGACGCCCCCCCGCUGUCGCCUGGCCCGCGACGCACCGAGGCCUGAGGACCCGAAAGCCGGGCGCGGGGAGAUGACCGGUGGCUCGUGACGGUCCCACGGGCAAAAUCUUCCAUCGCCCGGGGCUGAGACUUGUCAAACUGCCCUCUACGGUCACCCGGAAAGUAGGAGGCUUUUUCUGCAGAGGGGAAAAAAAUCAAAAAGAGCCGUUCCAUCCCCCCUCCAAGGACUGGGUUUGAAUUGCUUUUCAUCUGCAGUGGCUGUGAUUCAGCGUCCCUCUUAGCAGCAGGCAAUGACAGAGGCAGGAGAGGGGAAAAAAAAAAAGAAAGAAAGAAAAAACACAGCAAAUGAAUCAAACGGACCAGGUAGCAGGCAAGAGUGUGGUUAUCGUUGGACCAGGAUUCAGGAUCUGACUGAGUAGCUGACUCUUAAUCCAGUUUGUGUUGAUCACCAGGAGGAUCUGGACCUCAGUAUUACCACAUCUAGAGGUGAUAUGCCAACUCCACCUUUGCCUUCCACCAUGUUUGGAAGCUCCCUGAGGCCUCACCAGGAGCAGAUGCUCGUCCCAUGCUUCCUAUAAGCCUGCAGAACUGGAAAAGAAAGCUGGAUAAAGUAUUUAUAGAAGAUAGAGGACCUGUGGUGGCUCAUGCCUGUAAUCCAAGGUGGAAGGAUUGCUUGAGGCCAGAAGUUCAAGACCAGUCCAAGCAACAUAGCAAGGCCCCAUCUCUACAAAAAAUGAAAAUAAAAUUAGCCGAGCGUGAUGGCUCAUGCCUGUAGUUCUAGCUUCUAGAGAGGCUGAGGCAGGAGGAUUGCUUGAGUCCAGGAGUUCAAGAUUACAGUGAGCUAUGGUCACACCACUGCACUCCAGCCUGGGUGAUGGAGUGAGACUGUCUCAAUAAAAAGACAAAAAGGCUGGCCAGGGGCAGUGGUUCAUGCCUGUAAACCCAGCACUUUGGGAGGCAAAGGCAGGAGGAUUGCUUAAGCCCAGGAAUUUGAGAUCAGCCUGGACAACAUGGUCAAGGAAGCUUUUCCUGAUCCACUAACUAAGGACAAUCAAACCCUUCAUGAUCUAGAAUCUGGAGACUGUGUCUUCUGGGAAUAGUAUCAGAGAAAGACUGCCCUUACUGCCCACAUGUAGCAAAACUUUGAGACGUUGAAUUAUGGGUCCAUAAUCUCACAACUCAGAGGGGCACCUCUAGACUCUUGGAACUGUAUAUCUAUUGGAGACUUUAAGGUAAAGCUGAACAGAGAGACGUUUUUCUCCAGAAGCAGACAGCACCAUAGUCAUGGACAGCUUUCCCAAGAUCACAGAUCAAGACUUCUCUGCCGUCAUGAGACUCAUAACCUCUUAAUUUUUUCUUGCUUAUGCUUCUGUGAACAAUAGAAUUGGAAAAGGGGUGGUCCCGCGUGCACCCAUAGGGUAUACUUUUAUUUGUGGAGGAUUUUGCUGCCAACCUUAUACAUGGGCAAACUUAUGCCUUCAUGGAUGGAAGAUAAAGGGCUAAUAUGGGUUAGAAAUUUUAAUGGUACCUUUGUUUCUCCAUAAUCAUUCAGAAACAGAACACUGGUCCACUCUUGUUAACCUACAUCAUAGGUUGAAGAGAACAUUGCCAGGAGGCCUUCAUCCUUCCAGAUGGGCACCAUUUGUUGGGUCUUUUUCCGUGGUAUGAAGAAAAUGAAGCAAUGAUUAGAAAUUGGUCCCUCGGCCGGGCACAAUGGCUCAUGCCUGUAAUCCCAUCACUUUGGCAGGCCGAGGCGGGUGGAUCACCUGAGGUCAGGAGUUUGAGACCAGCCUGACCAAUGUGGUGAAACGCCAUCUCUACUAAAAAUACAAAAAUUAGCUGGGUGUGAUGGUGCACACCUGUAAUCCAGCUACUCGGGAGGCUGAGACAGGAGAAUUGCUUGAACCUGGGAGGCAGAGGUUGCAGUGAGCCAAGAUCACCCCACUGCAUUCCAGGUUGGGCAACAGAGCAAGACUCUGUCUCAAAAAAAAAAGAAGAAAGAAAGAAAUUGAUCCCUCAUAAUAGGCUGUAUAGCAGAUUCUACUGCAAAGGCUAUGGUUGCACAACAGACUUCUUUGAAUUUGCUUGCUAAACUUUUACUGGAUAAUACUGGGAUUACAGGUGUGAGCCACUGUGCCCAGCCUCUCCUGUUUAACUGUAUUCAUUCUAAUGUUUACUUACUUCUUUAAUUUGUAAAAUUGGGUCACUUAGAGUUUUUUUAGCCUAUCUUGCCAUUUAGCCACUGUUACUGAUAAUUUGGAUGGAAAAGAAAAAUAAAUUAUAUCACCUCUCA
Molecule: long non-coding RNA, 2493 nt
Filed under: Homo sapiens (human)
Lineage: Eukaryota; Metazoa; Chordata; Mammalia; Primates; Hominidae
Description: PREDICTED lncRNA (TCONS_00060965)
Source: RNAcentral